GAAAAAAUCAGCUUCAUUAUUGGAAAAAGGGAAGUGUGUAGAAAGAUGGAAAGCGGAGUUAAAGGAAUGAAACAAGGGGGAAAGAGGAAGCUAGUAAUUCCAAGGAAAAGUGGAGCUGAGGAAUUUGAAGUGGAAUUACUUACUGUCGGGU
Molecule: long non-coding RNA, 151 nt
Organism: Magallana angulata
Lineage: Eukaryota; Metazoa; Mollusca; Bivalvia; Ostreida; Ostreidae
Exons: 3
Source: RefSeq, a predicted model, not a curated record